UUUGUAAAUAAUUAUAUAUCCCUAAAAAUGUUAACAAAGUAAGUAAUCAUUCAAGGUUUUCAAAAAAAAUUUAGGAAAUGACGAUUACGUGUAACAACCUGUAAUUCGGCGAAACAUCAGCUUUGUAUACAAUAACAAUAGGCAACAUAGAGGGCCCAGAGUUUAGGUCAGGUAUCGCUCGAAGUAUUGGUUGAAAAAAAUUUAGGGGCAAAUCCGUUGGCUCCAAUAGAUUGUCAUACGACAAGCGGAAAUGCACUUGUUGUUGGAUCCAAACUGAAAAAAAUCCGGCAGGUGAAACCGAAUCUCUGUAUAAUUUCAAGAUUCAUGGCAAGGUAAAGAAUACAAGUAGAUCAAAUUCAACACAAGCACGUGUCCAAGAACAGACAAUUGAUACAAAAUUGCAAUUCUGAUAAUAAUUUAAUUUAAAAGAGUGCAAAAUUAGUUUCUAAUUAAAUUUUUUUAAAGAAAGAUCCAAGCCAUUAUGAAAAAAUGGUGGAUCUUAUAUCGAAUUUUCACAAUUUUCAUGUUUGACACUGUAAAGAAAGCAACGAGUAAUGAAGAUGAUGAUAUAGAAAACAAUACAACGUUAAGUAUGGUAGACAAAAUGGAAUUAAAUGCGGUAGACAAUGCAAAAAAUAUUACAGAAUUAAAUACCGUACAAAAUGUGAUAUUAAAUAAUACAAAUAUAGAAUAUAAUUUCACUGACUAUGAUGAAAUGAAAGAAUUAGUCAUGAAAGAAUUACAUAAGAGAAACAGACAACGUUUCUUUAUAACGCAAAUUAUAAUACAGAUUGUAGUAAUAGCAAUUAUACUAGUGAUUGUGAUCAUUGCGAUUAUCAAGAAUAAAUAUAUCAAAUAUAUAUAAAAUACUUGUACAUUCUACUCAUCAUAAUCAUCGAUGAGUAAACCAAAUUAUCUUAAACGAUUCACAAAACCGGUGUGUACACAACCGGACAUCUCGCUUUGGAAUUGGCACAAGACUCAAUUCAUUCCAUCAUGUCGCACGAGAAUACUUUCAGAAGAUGCGUUCUCGUUCAUAUAUAAUUACUAUAAACAAUAUUGAAGCAGGAAGUAUUUGGGACACUCGGCAGACGUACAAUAACAUGCUUGCAAAGCGCAGAGAACGGGAAGCAUUAAGAUCGAUAUUUUAUUACAGUGCACAACAAGAAUUUCAUGAUGAUAGUAUGGAGUUUGUUCGAAUCGAACCUCAACGUCAAACAGUAUGACCAUAUGAUAAUAUUAUCCUUUUUAUUGUUUGACAAAUUGUCUAUCAAUUACUUUUUAUAUAAUAUUCAUAUUUAUUAUAUUAGAUUUAUAUUAUUAAUCACUUUAUGUAUCACU
RNA transcript from Camponotus floridanus (Florida carpenter ant), 1341 nucleotides. RefSeq lists it as uncharacterized. The transcript has 6 exons. The record is from RefSeq and is a predicted model, not a curated record. NCBI's taxonomy places the organism in Eukaryota, Metazoa, Arthropoda, Insecta, Hymenoptera, Formicidae.